RNAcentral lists this ribosomal RNA (1372 nucleotides) under uncultured bacterium. RNAcentral describes it as "bacterial SSU rRNA". It matches the Rfam family "Bacterial small subunit ribosomal RNA", at positions 28 to 1381 of the family's 1533-position model. The record is from RNAcentral.
GAUGAACGCUGGCGGCGUGCCUAAUACAUGCAAGUCGAGCGAACGGACGAGAAGCUUGCUUCUCUGAUGUUAGCGGCGGACGGGUGAGUAACACGUGGAUAACCUACCUAUAAGACUGGGAUAACUUCGGGAAACCGGAGCUAAUACCGGAUGAUAUUUUGAACCGCAUGGUUCAAAAGUGAAAGACGGUCUUGCUGUCACUUAUAGAUGGAUCCGCGCUGCAUUAGCUAGUUGGUAAGGUAACGGCUUACCAAGGCAACGAUGCAUAGCCGACCUGAGAGGGUGAUCGGCCACACUGGAACUGAGACACGGUCCAGACUCCUACGGGAGGCAGCAGUAGGGAAUCUUCCGCAAUGGGCGAAAGCCUGACGGAGCAACGCCGCGUGGGUGAUGAAGGUCUUCGGAUCGUAAAACUCUGUUAUUAGGGAAGAACAUAUGUGUAAGUAACUGUGCACAUCUUGACGGUACCUAAUCAGAAAGCCACGGCUAACUACGUGCCAGCAGCCGCGGUAAUACGUAGGUGGCAAGCGUUAUCCGGAAUUAUUGGGCGUAAAGCGCGCGUAGGCGGUUUUUUAAGUCUGAUGUGAAAGCCCACGGCUCAACCGUGGAGGGUCAUUGGAAACUGGAAAACUUGAGUGCAGAAGAGGAAAGUGGAAUUCCAUGUGUAGCGGUGAAAUGCGCAGAGAUAUGGAGGAACACCAGUGGCGAAGGCGACUUUCUGGUCUGUAACUGACGCUGAUGUGCGAAAGCGUGGGGAUCAAACAGGAUUAGAUACCCUGGUAGUCCACGCCGUAAACGAUGAGUGCUAAGUGUUAGGGGGUUUCCGCCCCUUAGUGCUGCAGCUAACGCAUUAAGCACUCCGCCUGGGGAGUACGACCGCAAGGUUGAAACUCAAAGGAAUUGACGGGGACCCGCACAAGCGGUGGAGCAUGUGGUUUAAUUCGAAGCAACGCGAAGAACCUUACCAAAUCUUGACAUCCUUUGACAACUCUAGAGAUAGAGCCUUCCCCUUCGGGGGACAAAGUGACAGGUGGUGCAUGGUUGUCGUCAGCUCGUGUCGUGAGAUGUUGGGUUAAGUCCCGCAACGAGCGCAACCCUUAAGCUUAGUUGCCAUCAUUAAGUUGGGCACUCUAAGUUGACUGCCGGUGACAAACCGGAGGAAGGUGGGGAUGACGUCAAAUCAUCAUGCCCCUUAUGAUUUGGGCUACACACGUGCUACAAUGGACAAUACAAAGGGCAGCGAAACCGCGAGGUCAAGCAAAUCCCAUAAAGUUGUUCUCAGUUCGGAUUGUAGUCUGCAACUCGACUACAUGAAGCUGGAAUCGCUAGUAAUCGUAGAUCAGCAUGCUACGGUGAAUACGUUCCCGGGUCU